CUGCCAGUAGUCAUAUGCUUGUCUCAAAGAUUAAGCCAUGCAUGUCUCAGUACAAGCCGCAUUAAGGUGAAACCGCGAAAGGCUCAUUAAAUCAGUUAUGGUUCCUUAGAUCGUACCCACAUUUACUUGGAUAACUGUGGUAAUUCUAGAGCUAAUACAUGCAAACAGAGUUCCGACCGGAGACGGGAGGAAUGCUUUUAUUAGAUCAAAACCAAUCGGCGGCGGGCGCGUCCGCGCGCUCGUUCGCCGCUCAACCUGGUGACUCUGAAUAACUUUCGGCUGAUCGCACGGUCCAGCACCGGCGACGCAUCUUUCAAAUGUCUGCCUUAUCAACUGUCGAUGGUAGGUUCUGCGCCUACCAUGGUCGUAACGGGUAACGGGGAAUCAGGGUUCGAUUCCGGAGAGGGAGCCUGAGAAACGGCUACCACAUCCAAGGAAGGCAGCAGGCGCGCAAAUUACCCACUCCCGGCACGGGGAGGUAGUGACGAAAAAUAACGAUACGGGACUCAUCCGAGGCCC
Molecule: ribosomal RNA, 519 nt
Filed under: Copelatus sp. MB5013
Lineage: Eukaryota; Metazoa; Arthropoda; Insecta; Coleoptera; Dytiscidae
Description: SSU rRNA
Rfam family: Eukaryotic small subunit ribosomal RNA
Source: RNAcentral